AACGCACAUUGCACUCUAUUUCGAUAGAGUAUGCCUGUUUGAGAAUCUAAUGUAUUCAUUUUCCUAUAUAAUCAUCCUUGGAUGUUUGUAAGGAAAGAUUUGUGGAAUCUCUAAUAUUUUUAUUAAAGUUCUAUUAAUUAUAUAGCUUGGUAUUAAAUCUUGGCUGAAAAGUAUUUGAAUGGAACUUUAAUGUUUCUCCCUAUACAGAUUAAGCUGUUUUAAUUGAAUUCAAGCUCUUAACUAUGAAAAAAGAUUUUAUGAUUAACACCUAAGAUUUUUGAUAAAUUUUAAGGGUUGAAAGUAACUUUUUUGAACCAUGGUCUCAAAUCAGGCAGGAUUACCCGCUGAACUUAA
This 354-nucleotide unclassified non-coding RNA is filed under the name uncultured fungus. RNAcentral describes it as "partial contains 5.8S ribosomal RNA, internal transcribed spacer 2, and large subunit ribosomal RNA". Lineage: Eukaryota; Fungi. The record is from RNAcentral.